Molecule: ribosomal RNA, 564 nt
Filed under: Actinomadura sp. 413D10
Lineage: Bacteria; Bacillati; Actinomycetota; Actinomycetes; Streptosporangiales; Thermomonosporaceae
Also listed under: 5 other names
Description: bacterial SSU rRNA
Rfam family: Bacterial small subunit ribosomal RNA
Source: RNAcentral
GAGCGGCGAACGGGUGAGUAACACGUGAGUAACCUGCCCUUGGCUCUGGGAUAAGCCCGGGAAACUGGGUCUAAUACCGGAUAUGACCCUCCACCGCAUGGUGUGAGGGUGGAAAGUUUUUCGGCUGGGGAUGGACUCGCGGUCUAUCAGCUUGUUGGUGGGGUGAUGGCCUACCAAGGCGACGACGGAUAGCCGGCCUGAGAGGGUGACCGGCCACACUGGGACUGAGACACGGCCCAGACUCCUACGGGAGGCAGCAGUGGGGAAUAUUGCGCAAUGGGCGAAAGCCUGACGCAGCGACGCCGCGUGGGGGAUGAAGGCCUUCGGGUUGUAAACCUCUUUCACCACCGACGAAGCUAACGUGACGGUAGGUGGGGAAGAAGCGCCGGCUAACUACGUGCCAGCAGCCGCGGUAAUACGUAGGGCGCAAGCGUUGUCCGGAAUUAUUGGGCGUAAAGAGCUCGUAGGUGGUUUGUCGCGUCUGCCGUGAAAACCCGAGGCUUAACCUCGGGCUGGCGGUGGAUACGGGCAGACUAGAGGUAGGUAGGGGAGAACGGAAUUCCC